AUUGAACGCUGGCGGAAUGCCUAAUACAUGCAAGUCGAGCGAAUCUUGAGGUGCUUGCACCUCUUGGUUAGCGGCGGACGGGUGAGUAACACGUGGGCAACCUGCCUGUAAGACUGGGAUAACACCGGGAAACCGGUGCUAAUACCGGAUAAUCCUUUUCCUCUCAUGAGGAAAAGCUGAAAGUCGGUUUCGGCUGACACUUACAGAUGGGCCCGCGGCGCAUUAGCAAGUUGGUGAGGUAACGGCUCACCAAGGCGACGAGGCGUAGCCGUCCUGAGAGGGUGAUCGGCCACACUGGGACUGAGACACGGCCCAGACUCCUACGGGAGGCAGCAGUAGGGAAUCUUCCGCAAUGGACGAAAGUCUGACGGAGCAACGCCGCGUGAGCGAUGAAGGCCUUCGGGUCGUAAAGCUCUGUUGUUAGGGAAGAACAAGUACCGGAGUAACUGCCGGUACCUUGACGGUACCUAACCAGAAAGCCACGGCUAACUACGUGCCAGCCGCCGCCGUAA
This 512-nucleotide ribosomal RNA is filed under the name uncultured bacterium. Its description in RNAcentral is "partial 16S ribosomal RNA". It matches the Rfam family "Bacterial small subunit ribosomal RNA", at positions 30 to 523 of the family's 1533-position model. The record is from RNAcentral.